RNAcentral lists this ribosomal RNA (157 nucleotides) under uncultured Cryptococcus. RNAcentral describes it as "5.8S ribosomal RNA". It matches the Rfam family "5.8S ribosomal RNA". Rfam says of the family: 5.8S ribosomal RNA (5.8S rRNA) is a component of the large subunit of the eukaryotic ribosome. It is transcribed by RNA polymerase I as part of the 45S precursor that also contains 18S and 28S rRNA. Lineage: Eukaryota; Fungi; Basidiomycota; Tremellomycetes. The record is from RNAcentral.
ACUUUUAACAACGGAUCUCUUGGCUCUCGCAUCGAUGAAGAACGCAGCGAAAUGCGAUAAGUAAUGUGAAUUGCAGAAUUCAGUGAAUCAUCGAAUCUUUGAACGCACCUUGCGCCCUUUGGUAUUCCGAAGGGCAUGCCUGUUUGAGUGUCAUGAA